RNAcentral lists this ribosomal RNA (430 nucleotides) under Bacteroidota bacterium. RNAcentral's name for it is "Bacteroidetes bacterium partial 16S ribosomal RNA". It matches the Rfam family "Bacterial small subunit ribosomal RNA", at positions 355 to 776 of the family's 1533-position model. Lineage: Bacteria; Pseudomonadati; Bacteroidota. The record is from RNAcentral.
UAGGGAAUCUUCGGCAAUGGGGGGAACCCUGACCGAGCAACGCCGCGUGAGUGAAGAAGGUUUUCGGAUCGUAAAGCUCUGUUGUUAAGGAAGAACGAGUGUGAGAAUGGAAAGUUCAUGCUGUGACGGUAUCUAACCAGAAAGCCACGGCUAACUACGUGCCAGCAGCCGCGGUAAUACGUAGGUGGCAAGCGUUGUCCGGAUUUAUUGGGCGUAAAGCGAGCGCAGGCGGUCAAUUAAGUCUGAUGUGAAAGCCCCCGGUUCAACCGGGGAGGGUCAUUGGAAACUGGUUGACUUGAGUGCAGAAGAGGAGAGUGGAAUUCCAUGUGUAGCGGUGAAAUGCGUAGAUAUAUGGAGGAACACCAGUGGCGAAGGCGACUCUCUGGUCUGUAACUGACGCUGAGGCUCGAAAGCGUGGGUAGCAAACAGG